UACGUAGGUGGCGAGCGUUGUCCGGAUUUACUGGGCGUAAAGGGAGCGUAGGCGGACUUUUAAGUGAGAUGUGAAAUACCCGGGCUCAACUUGGGUGCUGCAUUUCAAACUGGAAGUCUAGAGUGCAGGAGAGGAGAAUGGAAUUCCUAGUGUAGCGGUGAAAUGCGUAGAGAUUAGGAAGAACACCAGUGGCGAAGGCGGCUUACUGGACUGUAACUGACGCUGAGUCACGAAAGCGUGGGUAGCAAACAGGAUUAGAUACCCUGGUA
RNAcentral lists this ribosomal RNA (269 nucleotides) under uncultured prokaryote. Its description in RNAcentral is "partial 16S ribosomal RNA". It matches the Rfam family "Bacterial small subunit ribosomal RNA", at positions 524 to 792 of the family's 1533-position model. The record is from RNAcentral.